Molecule: long non-coding RNA, 1401 nt
Filed under: Coturnix japonica (Japanese quail)
Lineage: Eukaryota; Metazoa; Chordata; Aves; Galliformes; Phasianidae
Description: lncRNA (ENSCJPG00005009952.1)
Source: RNAcentral
AUGCUCAGGCAAGCACUGCCCCGUGGCAGUGAAUCCAGGGAAGGCAGACAGCGGCCUCUGCCAAGGCAGGCAAUGCCGCUGGCAGCUGCACCCAGACAUGCAGCAGCUGCACAUACGGAACUUCCCAGAUUGACCACUCGCCUUACACCAGCCUCCAUGCGUUCUGCAAGCGGCAGUGACCGUGCCAUGGGAUCCACAGCUUGCAGACUGCUGGUGCUUGUUCCACGUCCUCAAGGCAGUGGUCAGCAGCAGGCUAUGGCAGCGAGGGCUGAGAACCGGCAGGCAGAUCUGCUAGUCCCCACGUCCCCCUUCCAACCAGCGCACCGAACACCCAAGUUGCUAAGGUUGGCAAAAUUGAGGCUGCCAGUAACCACAAUGCCAAAAAUUCAGCAGAAGCCAGUAGCCACCAGACCUAGACCCUGCCGGAAACCAGCAAGUCCAAGGCAGAGUGCACCCACCAGCACUGAGGAAACACCAGCAUCACCUGCCCCGGUGCUGGUCCACGAGGCUGGAAGUGGCCCCGCAGACAAGAUGCAACCAGAUCCAAGUGUUCAGGAGGAAACAAGAGAUGCUGACGGGGCUUCUGCCUCAUGCUCCACACCACCACAACAGGCAUCAGAUGAUGAUGCCGAAGCUACUUGCUACUUUUCGUGGGGCAUGCUGGUUUCCAGGGACACUGAAGAGAGGGUACGCGCCUGGAUCAUACAGCACAUGUUCCUGACCUGCUUACUUUGCACUUCCACUGAUGUUACAGUGUUGGACGUGCAGGAAGUGAAGAACGAAACCAGUGAGAGAGAUACUGCGAGCCCUCAGAAUGAGGCGGACAGGCUGGAGCUCACGGAGGCACUGCCCCAUGCCAGCGUCUCCUCAGAAGGGAGACAGCCACAGUCAACUUGUGGUGCAUCCUGUUUUGGUCCUGCGCCACCCGUCCAUCGUGCUAAAGCCUCACAAAAGUCAACUGUGUUGGCAUCUCGGAGGCGUCCAGUAGCUGCAAGACCAAAACCCAUCCAGAAAGCAGCAGGUCCACAACAAGGCGCACCCUCCCACACUCUGCUAGCACCAAGAACAACUGCCCAGGUGCAAGUCCCCGAGGCUGGGAGUGGCCCCGCAGAUAACAUGCCACCAGGUCCCAGUGCUCAAGAGGGCAGAAGAGACUGUGAGGAGGCUCCCACCUCAGAUUCCCACACAGCACAACAGAUAGUUCCCUAUUUGCCUGGCCCUUUCCAGGCUGGGCCAGUUGCCUUGCGCUACCGAUGGGUUCCACCCUCCUUAUUGAGAGUGCACGUGGAGCUGUCCUGCAGUCUUUGCAAAUGCAACUACACUGUUAAGAAGAAUGUCAAGAGGAACUGGAAGAUACCCCUGAAAGGGAUGAUGAAGAAGAGGAUGCCAAAGUCCCAAUGA